RNAcentral lists this ribosomal RNA (332 nucleotides) under uncultured bacterium. Its description in RNAcentral is "bacterial SSU rRNA". It matches the Rfam family "Bacterial small subunit ribosomal RNA", at positions 568 to 898 of the family's 1533-position model. The record is from RNAcentral.
CGUGUAGGCGGUCGGCCAAGUCUGAUGUGAAAGCCCGGGGCUCAGCCCCGGAAGUGCGUCGGAAACUAGUCGGCUGGAGCGCGAUAGAGGAGGGUGGAAUUCCUGGUGUAGCGGUGAAAUGCGUAGAUAUCAGGAGGAACACCGGCGGCGAAGGCGGCCCUCUGGAUCGUUGCUGACGCUGAGACGCGAAAGCGUGGGGAGCAAACAGGAUUAGAUACCCUGGUAGUCCACGCUGUAAACUAUGGGUACUAGGUGUUUGGGGUAUUGACCCCCUGAGUGCCGCAGUUAACGCAUUAAGUACCCCGCCUGGGGACUACGGCCGCAAGGUUAAA